AUUGAACGCUGGCGGCAUGCCUUACACAUGCAAGUCGAACGGUAACAGGUCUUCGGAUGCUGACGAGUGGCGAACGGGUGAGUAAUACAUCGGAACGUGCCUAGUAGUGGGGGAUAACUACUCGAAAGAGUGGCUAAUACCGCAUGAGAUCUACGGAUGAAAGCAGGGGAUCGCAAGACCUUGUGCUACUAGAGCGGCCAAUGGCAGAUUAGGUAGUUGGUGGGAUAAAAGCUUACCAAGCCGACGAUCUGUAGCUGGUCUGAGAGGACGAUCAGCCACACUGGGACUGAGACACGGCCCAGACUCCUACGGGAGGCAGCAGUGGGGAAUUUUGGACAAUGGACGAAAGCCUGAUCCAGCAAUGCCGCGUGCAGGAUGAAGGCCUUCGGGUUGUAAACUGCUUUUGUACGGAACGAAAAGCCCCGGGUUAAUACCCUGGGGUCAUGACGGUACCGUAAGAAUAAGCACCGGCUAACUACGUGCCAGCAGCCGCCGUAA
Molecule: ribosomal RNA, 498 nt
Filed under: uncultured bacterium
Lineage: Bacteria
Description: partial 16S ribosomal RNA
Rfam family: Bacterial small subunit ribosomal RNA
Source: RNAcentral